GGCUCAGGUUGAACGCUGGCGGCAUGCCUUACACAUGCAAGUCGAACGGCAGCACGGGUGCUUGCACCUGGUGGCGAGUGGCGAACGGGUGAGUAAUAUAUCGGAACGUGCCCAGUCGUGGGGGAUAACGUAGCGAAAGUUACGCUAAUACCGCAUACGAUCUACGGAUGAAAGCGGGGGAUCGCAAGACCUCGCGCGAUUGGAGCGGCCGAUAUCAGAUUAGGUAGUUGGUGGGGUAAAGGCUCACCAAGCCAACGAUCUGUAGCUGGUCUGAGAGGACGACCAGCCACACUGGAACUGAGACACGGUCCAGACUCCUACGGGAGGCAGCAGUGGGGAAUUUUGGACAAUGGACGCAAGUCUGAUCCAGCCAUUCCGCGUGCAGGAUGAAGGCCCUCGGGUUGUAAACUGCUUUUGUACGGAACGAAAAGGUUUCUAUUAAUACUAGGAGCUCAUGACGGUACCGUAAGAAUAAGCACCGGCUAACUACGUG
Molecule: ribosomal RNA, 493 nt
Filed under: uncultured bacterium
Lineage: Bacteria
Description: bacterial SSU rRNA
Rfam family: Bacterial small subunit ribosomal RNA
Source: RNAcentral